AAAUCUACAGAACUCAAAGAUUUUGUGCAUCUGAUUAAAGCGGAAAGAAACCAAUAAUAGCAUCAAGUACGAAGAAAACUCAUACCAGCAUCAUGGAAGGAGUCACAUUUUACAAUAAAAAGUACAGCUUUAACCUAACAGUACAGGAAUCUUGGUUGAAAAGAUUCAGUUUGUGCCAAGGAUGACAUGAACACAAAAGAACUAAGAAAACUCAGAAGAAAGGCAUAACCUUCCCUUUGCCACGAUGACUUGCCCUGUGUCCCCUUGCAUCCAGUGAAGGAAGAAGAGGGUAGUUACAUUAUCCAACACCUGAGAUUCUUAGCACCAUCUUCUUCCUCUUCUUUCUCGACAUGGUCUGGUGCUGGAUCGAAACCAAUUAGUUCAGACAGAAAGAAACCCGAGGACUUUGGAUUUUGCCUUGGUUCGGUCUAUCUAACAAUCCCACUAUAUAAGCCUCUUGGACCCGAGAAACAACAGUGAAAGUAAACACACUUAAAUCUUUCUUUAAUCCAUACUUUACCUAAAUUUCCGAACACAAAACCAAAGAGAACAGAUCAACAAAGAAAAUUAAAACUUGAAAAACUGGUCCCACGAGGCAUCAUUAUGUAAAUGAGACAUGCUUAUCCCACUAAGGACCAUGUGAUUAUUCUUCUUUUAUGUAGAUUACACUGCUCUUUCAAUUGGGCGAGGGAUUCCAAGUGGAGAAAAGACAGAGAGAUGGAUAAUAAUUGAAGAGUGCCAGAGAAAAAGUUAGAAGACAGGUGUAGGGCUAACACAUCAACGAAGAAAGAAAAUUGUAAACAAUUGAAAGGUAGUUAAAGUUGUUCAUGGCAACAAAAUAGAUAAUAUACCUCUGCUUUUUACAAGGAAGAAGGGCUUUGCACCGUCCACUUAUUACCCCACUUUUGUAUUUGGAUGUGAGAAUCUGUGCGUCAAAUAGCACUAAUCCGUGUCCAGUUGGAGAAGCUUUGAAGCUAAAUGUGGAAAGACUGUGCAUGGAGAAUAGUCAAAAAAGACAAAAGCUAUUAUUGAUGAGAAGUGGUAAUGAGUGACGAUACAUGUUUCUUCUCUUUGCCCCUUCCAAACAAUCGACAGCACCCUUGGAUUGUGGAGAGCAUGGAUAAGCUCUUCUUUUUAUGUACAAGUAAGAUGGCCUUUUCUGCAACUUACACCUUCAUUUUCCCCUUUCAACUUGUGACUUGCAGUGCAGACAAAUGAAAAAAUAUUAUGAUAAUACUGAAAUGGAAAGAUUUCUGCUGCAUAUAUGUAAAUAACA
This 1276-nucleotide long non-coding RNA is filed under the name Populus tremula. RNAcentral's name for it is "long non-coding RNA (PTRE_LNC000759)". The record is from RNAcentral. Lineage: Eukaryota; Viridiplantae; Streptophyta; Magnoliopsida; Malpighiales; Salicaceae.